Magnolia sinica is the source of this 2996-nucleotide RNA transcript. It is a transcript of the gene named bZIP transcription factor 1-B-like, with no coding region annotated. The record is from RefSeq and is a predicted model, not a curated record. NCBI's taxonomy places the organism in Eukaryota, Viridiplantae, Streptophyta, Magnoliopsida, Magnoliales, Magnoliaceae. The transcript is spliced from 18 exons.
CUCGGGUCUUCAGUAGAACCGUUAUCGGGCUUGUAGCCCGGCCCACUUUCACCCAAACUCCGGAUUCUGCCCAGUGCUGAUAUUGCAGCAGCUAAAACACGAAAGAGAGGGAACGUAGAAGCCUCUCCAAUUUCAUCGCAGCCGAUCCCCGCUCGUUUUCUCAUCUAGGGCAAGAUCUCGGUCUCAAAUAUCGGAACCGAUCUGAAAUUCCUUUGGAUGUGAUUCCGUUCUUCAACUGAAUCAUGGGUAGUAGUGAGACAGAUACACCGGCAAAGGCAUCGAAGACAACGAUGGCGACGACAGCAGCAUCUGCGGCACAGGAGCAGGCUCCAAUGACUAGCGCUGCAAUGGCUUAUCCUGACUGGGCUGGAUUUCAGGCAUAUUCCCCUGUUCCACCACCUGGGUUCUUUCAUUCAUCGGUGGCAUCAAGCCCCCAAGCUCAUCAUCCUUACAUGUGGGGAGCUCAGCAAUUUAUGCCUCCAUAUGGGACCCCACCACAUCCGUACGUUGCGAUGUAUCCUCAUGGCGGGUUAUAUGCUCAUCCAUCCAUCCCACCGGGGUCUCAUCCAUUCAGUCCAUAUGCUAUGCCUUCACCAAAUGGCAACACCGAGGCUUCUGGCAUGGAAAUGGAUGGUAAGUCAUCUGAAGGUAAGGAAAAGGGACCCAUGAAGAGAUCAAAAGGAAGUUUAGGCAGCUUGAAUAUGCUUAUGGGCAAGGAUAACAGUGAGCCGGGUAAAACAUCUGGAGCAUCUGGGAAUGGAUUUGUCUCCCAAAGUGGUGACAGUGCAAGUGAAGGUUCCAGUGAAGGAAGUGAUGCCAACUCUCAGAACGACACACAACAGAAGGCAAGCGAUGAGAAAGAUUCUUUGGAAGCUGAGGCGUCUAAGAAUGGGAGUUCCGUCCGUGGUCCUCAGAAUGGUGUGGCUCGCAGUCCAUCACAAACAAUGUUGAAUCAAACAAUGCCUGUCAUGCCAAUGGCAACACUUGGUGGUCCAGGAGGUGUUGCUGGCCCUACGACAAACUUAAAUAUUGGGAUGGACUAUUGGGCUGGACCAACUGCACCAUCUAUGUCUUUGCUGCAUGGGAAAGUUCCCACUGCACCAGCUGGGGGUGCAAUGGUUCCUACUGGUCUUGUUGGACCCCGUGAGCCAUCGGAGCUUCUGCUACAGGAUGAAAGAGAACUGAAAAGACAGAGAAGAAAGCAAUCAAACAGAGAAUCAGCACGUAGGUCCCGGUUGCGCAAGCAGGCAGAGUGUGAAGAGCUGGCCCAGCGUGUUGAAGUUCUGAAAGACGAAAACACUUCUCUCAGAUCAGAAGCAAGUCGCAUGAGGAAUGAGUAUGAACAGCUUGUUGCACAGAAUACCUCUCUCAAGGAGAGACUAGGGGAAAUCCCUAGAGGGCACAAAGAUUCAAGAUCUGACAUGAACAACCAGCAUCCCAGCCAUCUCAAUCAUCACAGAAACCUGGAAUCUGGCAUGCAAGCAGCAGGGGAAACAGAGCUUGAGCACAGUGGUCACUGAGACCAAGCCUGCUUCAGAUAAAUUUCCUUGAGCAUAACCUAGCCAAUUGUCUUUGUGGGAGCCACUACUUAAACACUCUUUUUUGACACAUGCAUACUUUCUUUCUACUGCUGGUAAUAGAAUAGUGUGAACUUUUUCUACUGUAUUUCCAAAAGUAGGAAAAUGGGUGCAUGUAUCCAAAAGGAAGGGUGUAAAUAUCAAUUCCCUAUCUGCAUAUCCUUUUGUAGCAUGUUGGUAACAAUUAAAAUCCGUUGCAGUUGAUUGUUGCUAGGUUGCAGUGUCAUCAGUGCUUACCUCCCUAGUUAUGGGUUCGGUUGACUACACCUGUCAUUAUCGUUUCAACUGAUCUUUAACAGUCGAAGCUCAGGCCAGAGAUGUAGGAUCAGAACCCUGUCUUACAAAUUUUUGUUGCAGUAAGGAUGAUCGUGAUUUUAUCUCAUCUUCCCUUCUAUGUUUUGGUAUUUUGGAGGUACUCAUUACCUGGCAAAGCAAUUAGACAAACAUAGAGUUCAAAUGAAGAAAUUGAUCCUGCCAGACAGACGGUACUGAACCUUGAUAUCAGGGCAUGGGAUUUUCUUGCAUUAUGCUGUGAUCUUGUUGAAUAAUCAGACUGAGAUGCAAAUGAUAAUGGUCAACCAUGUAGUCUCCAGGCCUCAAUUCGACCAGACAACUGGGAUACAUGCAAACAGCUACAGCAGAUUAUUGCCACGCUUUGGAGAUCUGCACUCUGCUAAAUCUGAAAUUCUACCAAUGACAGUAUCAAACAGGAUGCUAUUGUGCUGAAUAGUCCUCCAUGAAGCAGAGCAGUCGAACCAGAUUUUUGUGGCCUUGGAUUUAAAUCAACUGGUGGUGGGGUAACUACAGGCGUCAGAUUUAGGGGACCCGGCGGAGUUGGAAAAUCUUGUGAGGGAGCUUCUGGCGCAGCGGCAAUUUGAGGACUUGAAGAAAAGCAGAUGUUUGGGCUGAUAAUCCGUACAUUGUUGAGGUAAAAGCUUCUCCUGCCAUUGUUAGAGAUUCUGAGCAUGAAACCUGGCUUCCGAGUAGGAAUUAUGGAUCCGGUUGGGAAAUGCUCAAGGUGAUCAAAGAGCAGCGGCGAAGGGAUGGAAUGCUGUGACAGGAAGUCAAGAACUCCAUUCUCGGGCACUGCUACCUUCGACAGCAGCCGAUCGUGGGGCAUCAGGAAGGUGACAUUUGCCGGUAUUCUGUCCUGCAGCAUAUUAAUCAGCGUCACAAAGGGUUGCGUGUUCACAUGCUUCUUUGCUGCUUCAACAACUAAGGUCAUGCACGCUGCAUGUUCGGGGUCUCUUACAUCAAAGGAUUUAAUAUGUGAAUUGAGAAGCCGCAGUAAGUAGCAGUUAAGGAUUGCUCAUUUAAAUUUCAAUUUUUUUAAUAAUUUUAUUUCAGAAGCUCCAUUGCUAACUGUGACUGAAUUUUCUUUCUUUUCUUCUUUGGUAGAAAUGUAUCUGGUUUUUUCUA